RNAcentral lists this unclassified non-coding RNA (219 nucleotides) under Arenaria serpyllifolia. RNAcentral describes it as "partial internal transcribed spacer 2". Lineage: Eukaryota; Viridiplantae; Streptophyta; Magnoliopsida; Caryophyllales; Caryophyllaceae. The record is from RNAcentral.
AUCGCAUCUCCCCCCACACCCACCUUUAUGGGAAGGGGAAGGAGGAUGGCUUCCCAUGCCUCACCGGGCACGGUUGGCCUAAAAACGGAGCCUUAGGCACUGAGCUGCCGCGGCGAUAGGUGGUGAACAAGGCAUCUGUCAUGCAAGCAACCCGUCGCGCAGCACUUUGUCAUUUGGAGCUCGAAGGACCCUGCUGAGUUGCUCUUGGCAACCUAACCG